This is a non-coding RNA of Paramuricea clavata, 73 nucleotides long. Lineage: Eukaryota; Metazoa; Cnidaria; Anthozoa; Malacalcyonacea; Plexauridae. The record is from the annotation of a GenBank genome assembly.
GCCUCAUUAACUCAGAGGUUAGACCACUGGUCUAGCAAACCAGAGGUCAGGAGUUCAAGUCUUUGAUGAGGCU